RNAcentral lists this ribosomal RNA (222 nucleotides) under Clostridioides sp. ZZV14-6044. Its description in RNAcentral is "partial 16S ribosomal RNA". It matches the Rfam family "Bacterial small subunit ribosomal RNA", at positions 416 to 656 of the family's 1533-position model. The record is from RNAcentral. Lineage: Bacteria; Bacillati; Bacillota; Clostridia; Peptostreptococcales; Peptostreptococcaceae.
UUUCGGGUCGUAAAACUCUGUCCUCAAGGAAGAUAAUGACGGUACUUGAGGAGGAAGCCCCGGCUAACUACGUGCCAGCAGCCGCGGUAAUACGGAGGGGGCUAGCGUUAUCCGGAUUUACUGGGCGGAAAGGGUGCGUAGGCGGUCUUUCAAGUCAGGAGUGAAAGGCUACGGCUCAACCGUAGUAAGCUCUUGAAACUGGGAGACUUGAGUGCAGGAGAG